CGUGUGGUGGUUUAGUGGUAAAAUUGGUGCUUGCCAUUUUCACUUCGGUGGGACAUUGGAGGAGCUGCACUAGCCCCGGGUUCGAUUCCCGGCCACGCGA
Pseudohyphozyma bogoriensis is the source of this 100-nucleotide non-coding RNA. The record is from the annotation of a GenBank genome assembly. NCBI's taxonomy places the organism in Eukaryota, Fungi, Basidiomycota, Microbotryomycetes, Chrysozymaceae.